RNAcentral lists this ribosomal RNA (468 nucleotides) under Trypanosoma rangeli. RNAcentral's name for it is "SSU rRNA". The record is from RNAcentral. Lineage: Eukaryota; Euglenozoa; Kinetoplastea; Trypanosomatida; Trypanosomatidae.
UUUUGUUGGUUUUAAAAGUCCAUUGGAGAUUAUGGGGCAGUGUGACAAGCGGCUGGGUGGUUAUUCCACACACGCACACUCCUUUUUUGGAUGUGUGUCUCGUGUGUGGCACUCGUCGCCUUUGUGGGAAAUCCGUGUGGCACUUGUUUGGUGUUGUUGGCAGACUUCGGUCUUGCCUUCACAGCACAUGUGUCAUGCCUUCCCUCAACUCACGGCAUCCAGGAAUGAAGGAGGGUAGUUCGGGGGAGAACGUACUGGUGCGUCAGAGGAGACCAUUGUAGUCCACACUGCAAACGAUGACACCCAUGAAUUGGGGAGUUUUUGGUCGUAGGCGUGGUCGGGCUUGAUUAUAUUAUUUUUCAUCCCGUUCCUCGUCUCGCCAAUGAAUAUAUUAAAUUUACGUGCAUAUUCUUUUUGGUCUUCGUCUUUUUACGGCGAGGACCUUUAACGGGAAUAUCCUCAGCACGU